AUUGAACGCUGGCGGCAUGCCUUACACAUGCAAGUCGAACGGUAACAGGUUAAGCUGACGAGUGGCGAACGGGUGAGUAAUGUAUCGGAACGUGCCCAGUCGUGGGGGAUAACUGCUCGAAAGAGCAGCUAAUACCGCAUACGACCUGAGGGUGAAAGCGGGGGAUCGCAAGACCUCGCGCGAUUGGAGCGGCCGAUAUCAGAUUAGGUAGUUGGUGAGGUAAAGGCUCACCAAGCCGACGAUCUGUAGCUGGUCUGAGAGGACGACCAGCCACACUGGGACUGAGACACGGCCCAGACUCCUACGGGAGGCAGCAGUGGGGAAUUUUGGACAAUGGGCGCAAGCCUGAUCCAGCCAUGCCGCGUGCGGGAAGAAGGCCUUCGGGUUGUAAACCGCUUUUGUCAGGGAAGAAAAGGUUCUGGCUAAUACCUGGGACUCUUGGCGGUACCUGAAGAAUAAGCACCGGCUAACUACGUG
Molecule: ribosomal RNA, 477 nt
Filed under: uncultured bacterium
Lineage: Bacteria
Description: partial 16S ribosomal RNA
Rfam family: Bacterial small subunit ribosomal RNA
Source: RNAcentral